GACAAAAGAGGGCUCAGGGAAGAGCAGGAUAAAAGAUACUUGUGGUCAGAGAUUCUGAAUCAAAGCAUGCAUGGUCACAGGAAGUUUAAGCAUGGUUCAAACACUGAUUUACUGGAGGGACUUCUGACAAUCCAGAAGAAACUGUCAGAAAUCUCCAGAGAGACACUGAGGGAAAUCUAUAGAAUAUAUAGUUGAAGCCACAAUAAUAAGAACCUGGCCAGCUGAUGGAUGAAAAUGUGUUUUCCUUCUACUGAAAUCUCCUUCAGAUCCUCAUCAAGAUGGAAGAGUGUCCCUUCUUUUUAAUUUUCUAGAUCUUCUUCCAAUUCUGUUAAACUCCCAAAUAUUUGAA
This is a long non-coding RNA of Vidua macroura (Pin-tailed whydah), 349 nucleotides long. RefSeq lists it as uncharacterized. The transcript has 3 exons. The record is from RefSeq and is a predicted model, not a curated record. Lineage: Eukaryota; Metazoa; Chordata; Aves; Passeriformes; Viduidae.